RNAcentral lists this unclassified non-coding RNA (181 nucleotides) under Uromyces sp. TSH-R17960. RNAcentral describes it as "ITS1". The record is from RNAcentral. Lineage: Eukaryota; Fungi; Basidiomycota; Pucciniomycetes; Pucciniales; Pucciniaceae. RNAcentral also lists the same sequence under 1 other name.
GUGCACUUUAUUGUGGCUCAGAACUUUUUCAUUUUUACCCCCAAGACUUGUUUGUGUGGCAUUUUUGCCAUUGCACUCAGGUAUACGUAACACAAGAGUGUUACAUUACCCCCUCCCUGAUUUUUUUUAUUAUUAUUAAACACAUGUGGAAUUAAGAAUGUAAUAUAUAUUUUUUUAGAAU